GGGAGUGGCAGACGGGUGAGUAACACGUGGGAACGUCCCCCUCGGUUCGGAAUAACUCAGGGAAACUUGAGCUAAUACCGGAUACGUCCGAGAGGAGAAAGAUUUAUCGCCGAGGGAUCGGCCGCGUCUGAUUAGCUAGUUGGUGAGGUAAUGGCUCACCAAGGCGACGAUCAGUAGCUGGUCUGAGAGGAUGAUCAGCCACACUGGGACUGAGACACGGCCCAGACUCCUACGGGAGGCAGCAGUGGGGAAUAUUGGACAAUGGGCGAAAGCCUGAUCCAGCCAUGCCGCGUGAGUGAUGAAGGCCUUAGGGUUGUAAAGCUCUUUUACCAGGGAAGAUAAUGACUGUACCUGGAGAAUAAGCCCCGGCUAACUUCGUGCCAGCAGCCGCGGUAAUACGAAGGGGGCUAGCGUUGUUCGGAAUCACUGGGCGUAAAGCGCACGUAGGCGGACUUUUAAGUCAGAGGUGAAAGCCCAGGGCUCAACCCUGGAAUUGCCUUUGAUA
RNAcentral lists this ribosomal RNA (505 nucleotides) under uncultured Hyphomicrobiales bacterium. RNAcentral describes it as "bacterial SSU rRNA". It matches the Rfam family "Bacterial small subunit ribosomal RNA", at positions 91 to 632 of the family's 1533-position model. The record is from RNAcentral. Lineage: Bacteria; Pseudomonadati; Pseudomonadota; Alphaproteobacteria; Hyphomicrobiales.